RNAcentral lists this ribosomal RNA (497 nucleotides) under uncultured bacterium. RNAcentral's name for it is "partial 16S ribosomal RNA". It matches the Rfam family "Bacterial small subunit ribosomal RNA", at positions 28 to 507 of the family's 1533-position model. The record is from RNAcentral.
GAUGAACGCUGGCGGCGUGCCUAAUACAUGCAAGUCGAGCGAACGGACGAGAAGCUUGCUUCUCUGCUGUUAGCGGCGGACGGGUGAGUAACACGUGGAUAACCUACCUAUAAGACUGGGAUAACUUCGGGAAACCGGAGCUAAUACCGGCUAAUAUUUUGAACCGCAUGGUUCAAAAGUGAAAGACGGUCUUGCUGUCACUUAUAGAUGGAUCCGCGCUGCAUUAGCUAGUUGGUAAGGUAACGGCUUACCAAGGCAACGAUGCAUAGCCGACCUGAGAGGGUGAUCGGCCACACUGGGACUGAGACACGGUCCAGACUCCUACGGGAGGCAGCAGUAGGGAAUCUUCCGCAAUGGGCGAAAGCCUGACCGAGCAACGCCGCGUGAGUGAUGAAGGUCUUCGGAUCGUAAAACUCUGUUAUUAGGGAAGAACAGAUGUGUAAGUAACUGUGCACAUCUUGACGGUACCUAAUCAGAAAGCCACGGCUAACUACGUG